Malaya genurostris is the source of this 614-nucleotide long non-coding RNA. RefSeq lists it as uncharacterized. The record is from RefSeq and is a predicted model, not a curated record. NCBI's taxonomy places the organism in Eukaryota, Metazoa, Arthropoda, Insecta, Diptera, Culicidae. The transcript is spliced from 3 exons.
AUUUUUGUCCGUAUGUUGCAUGACAGCUUCAGAUGAGCUUGACAAUUUUAUAAUUGUAAGUAUGUCAUCUAUAAUCAUACCAAACAUUGAAUAACUUGUAAGAAAACCCAAUAACAGAGUGUAAACAAAUGCGUUUAUUUUAACCGGAGUUGUUUGAAGUUUUUUUCGAUACGUAUUGUUGUGGGGAUAUGAAAUUGAUUUUUCAGUGAUUAAGAAUUGUGUCAGAGUAAUUUGUCAGGGGCGAAAUACAAAGAAAUCUACUUUGAGGCCGCAUACAGCCAAUUAUUAGAAGUUUAUCGAUGAAUAAUACGACCAAUGUUGGGACAUGUUUUUCAGUUCGAAACUUAUUUCAUAGAAAAAUAGCUCACUCGGUAAUUCCAGGUGCAAUAAGUCAAAAAUACGACCAACUUCGCGAAGCGGAUCAAAACUCUAAAAAACUAUCGAAAUUGCAAGAGUACCCAAAUGAUUAGAAGCAAUAGCCUACCUGAUGAAUCGGGUGAUAGUGCUGAUCGGUUCAAAAUAUGUAUAUAUUUUAAUUAUAAUAACACGUAUGUGAAAAUUAACCAAAUUAAAGUUUGAAUAAAUUUUAUUUUACUCUUGCUAUUUUAAAGAAA